GGCUCGGUGGUCUAAGGGUAUGAUCUCCGCUUUGGGUGCGGAGGGCUCCAGGUUCAAAUCCUGGCCGAGCCC
This is a transfer RNA of 72 nucleotides. It matches the Rfam family "tRNA". From Rfam's summary of the family: Transfer RNA (tRNA) molecules are approximately 80 nucleotides in length. The record is from Rfam.